RNAcentral lists this ribosomal RNA (504 nucleotides) under uncultured bacterium. RNAcentral describes it as "bacterial SSU rRNA". It matches the Rfam family "Bacterial small subunit ribosomal RNA", at positions 9 to 507 of the family's 1533-position model. The record is from RNAcentral.
CGAGUUUGAUCAUGGCUCAGAUUGAACGCUGGCGGCAUGCCUUACACAUGCAAGUCGAACGGCAGCACGGGAGCAAUCCUGGUGGCGAGUGGCGAACGGGUGAGUAAUGUAUCGGAACGUACCUUUCAGUGGGGGAUAACGUAGGGAAACUUACGCUAAUACCGCAUGCGCCCUUCGGGGGAAAGCCGGGGACCUUCGGGCCUGGCGCGAUUGGAUGAGCCCAUGUCGGAUUAGCUAGUUGGCGGGGUAAUGGCCCACCAAGGCGACGAUCCGUAGCUGGUCUGAGAGGAUGAUCAGCCACACUGGAACUGAGACACGGUCCAGACUCCUACGGGAGGCAGCAGUAGGGAAUAUUGGACAAUGGGCGCAAGCCUGAUCCAGCCAUGCCGCGUGAGUGAAGAAGGCCUUCGGGUUGUAAAGCUCUUUCAGCCGGGAAGAAAACGCAUGGGUUAAUACCCUGUGUGGAUGACGGUACCGGAAUAAGAAGCACCGGCUAACUACGUG